ACGACUGGAAUCACACAUACACCGCCACAAGAGGUCUGCAGUGAAGGUCCCAGAGUCCCAGACAACGGAGUCUCUCUCUGUCGCCCAGGGUAGAGUGCAGUGGUGCAAUCCUGGCUCACUGCAACCUCUGCCUCCCGGGUUCAAGCGAUUCUCCUGCCUCAGCUUCCCGAGUAGCUGGGACUACAGGCAUGUGCCACCACGCCCAGGAUCUUUCUGCUGAUGCAGCUGUUAAGAGUGUUUCAUAAACUGUGACACUGAGCAAAAUCAUAGAAGGAAACUCUAUGGACAAUUUCAGAUGGAGAAGAAGAAAGGAUUGGAAGUUCAAUUUGGCCAUGACAAUUAGACUUGAAGAAGCUGAGUGAGAAGGCCAUGCGGAUAUCUUGGAGAAGUGCAUUCCAGGAAGAGGAAAAGCCAGUGCAGAGACACUGAAGCAGGGCAUGACUGAUGUGUGUAAGGAGCUCAUAUAUAUGAUCAUCUACAGUCCACUGAGGAGAAUAGCAGACGAGAGGCCAGGUGCAGUGCAUGUAAUCCCAGCACUUUGGGAGACUGAGAUGGGAAGAUCGCUUGAGGCCAGGAGUGCAAGACCAGCCUGGGCAACAUAGCAAGAACUUGACUCUACUAAAAAAAAAAAGGAUCCUUCAACUUCAACAAUAACAACACGAGGGAAGUGAAGAAAAACACUUUCUAAGGAAAUCUCUCUCUGAGCUACCAUCCGGCUAGGGAGAGCCUGAAAGCAGAAUGCUGACUUGACUAGCUCUGGCCAAUAAAGGAAAUCACCAGUGGAAAGGCUACCAGGGGGCUUCCUCAAAAGAGAGGGACGGU
RNAcentral lists this non-coding RNA (822 nucleotides) under Pongo abelii (Sumatran orangutan). Lineage: Eukaryota; Metazoa; Chordata; Mammalia; Primates; Hominidae. The record is from RNAcentral.